CAGAUUGCAGGCUGCAACNCGCCUGCAUGAAGUCGGAAUUGCUAGUAAUCGCAGAUCAGCAUGCUGCGGUGAAUACGUUCCCGGGCCUUGUACACACCGCCCGUCACACCAUGGGAGUCGGUAACACCCGAAGUCGGUAGCCUAACCGUAAGGAGGGCGCCGCCGAAGGUGGGAUUGGUGACUGGGGUGAAGUCGUAACAAGGUAGC
Molecule: ribosomal RNA, 207 nt
Filed under: uncultured bacterium
Lineage: Bacteria
Description: partial 16S ribosomal RNA
Rfam family: Bacterial small subunit ribosomal RNA
Source: RNAcentral